This is a non-coding RNA of Odocoileus virginianus texanus, 479 nucleotides long. Lineage: Eukaryota; Metazoa; Chordata; Mammalia; Artiodactyla; Cervidae. The record is from RefSeq and is a predicted model, not a curated record.
CAGCGGCAGCAGAAACGGAAGGGCUGGGACCCCCGAAACCCUCUGCGCAAUAUGAUCGCUCCUCACGGGAGGGGGAAGCCUCAACGAAGAGCCAGCGGCCCAAAAAGAGGAGCACUUUCCGAGCUCAUCGGUACCCGGCCCCUCUGUACCGGGCGCAGUUGCAGGUGGUGCUUCCCGUAUAUGAAUUUCUGGGAAUACGGUCUGUGUUGGCCAUAUAAGGAUGUCUCUCUGAGCCAUAUGUUCUGCUGUCAUCUGUCUCAUUUUGUCUGUCUGGGAUGUCAGGACUGAUUUCCACAUCGUUUCUUGAAUGGGCCAGAUACAAAUUGGCAUGGCACUCAGCAGGACUGAAGUGUCCACUGUCCAUGGCCUGGAGUUGGUGCAGGGCCCCUAGCUGCCGUGUGGCGCCCCCAGGAAGCCCACGGGAUUUUAAUUCCAGCGAAGUCGAACAGAAACCAUUCUCAGCCAGCCUUCACUCAAGA